CCUACGGGCGGCAGCAGUGGGGAAUUUUGCACAAUGGGGGAAACCCUGAUGCAGCGACGCCGCGUGAUUUAGAAGGCCUUCGGGUUGUAAAAAUCUUUUGUAUAGGAAGAAAAUGACAGUACUAUACGAAUAAGGUCCGGCUAAUUACGUGCCAGCAGCCGCGGUAAUACGUAAGGACCGAGCGUUGUCCGGAAUCAUUGGGCGUAAAGGGUACGUAGGCGGGUCAUUAAGUUAGAAGUCAAAGGCUAUAGCUCAACUAUAGUAAGCUUCUAAAACUGGAGACCUUGAGUAAUGGAAGGGAAAGUGGAAUUCCUAGUGUAGCGGUGGAAUGCGCAGAUAUUAGGAGGAAUACCGGUGGCGAAGGCGACUUUAUGGCCAUUAACUGACGCUGAGGUACGAAAGCGUGGGUAGCAAACAGGAUUAGAUACCCUGGUAGUC
This 438-nucleotide ribosomal RNA is filed under the name uncultured Anaerococcus sp. RNAcentral describes it as "bacterial SSU rRNA". It matches the Rfam family "Bacterial small subunit ribosomal RNA", at positions 338 to 795 of the family's 1533-position model. Lineage: Bacteria; Bacillati; Bacillota; Tissierellia; Tissierellales; Peptoniphilaceae. The record is from RNAcentral.